This 253-nucleotide ribosomal RNA is filed under the name uncultured bacterium. RNAcentral describes it as "partial 16S ribosomal RNA". It matches the Rfam family "Bacterial small subunit ribosomal RNA", at positions 524 to 776 of the family's 1533-position model. The record is from RNAcentral.
UACGGAGGGGACUAGCGUUGUUCGGGAUUACUGGGCGUAAAGCGCACGUAGGCGGAUUUGUAAGUCAGGGGUGAAAUCCCGGGGCUCAACCUCGGAACUGCCUUUGAUACUGCAAAUCUCGAGUCCGGAAGAGGUGAGUGGAAUUCCUAGUGUAGAGGUGAAAUUCGUAGAUAUUAGGAAGAACACCAGUGGCGAAGGCGGCUCACUGGUCCGGUACUGACGCUGAGGUGCGAAAGCGUGGGGAGCAAACAGG